GUGGGGAAUAUUGCACAAUGGGCGAAAGCCUGAUGCAGCGAUGCCGCGUGAGGGAAGAAGGUUUUAGGAUUGUAAACCUCUGUCUUUGGGGACGAUAAUGACGGUACCCAAGGAGGAAGCUCCGGCUAACUACGUGCCAGCAGCCGCGGUAAUACGUAGGGAGCGAGCGUUGUCCGGAAUUACUGGGUGUAAAGGGAGCGUAGGCGGGAUUGCAAGUCAGGUGUGAAAUUUAGGGGCUUAACCCCUGAACUGCACUUGAAACUGUAGUUCUUGAGUGAAGUAGAGGUAAGCGGAAUUCCUAGUGUAGCGGUGAAAUGCGUAGAUAUUAGGAGGAACAUCAGUGGCGAAGGCGGCUUACUGGGCUUUAACUGACGCUGAGGCUCGAAAGCGUGGGGAGCAAACAGG
Molecule: ribosomal RNA, 405 nt
Filed under: uncultured rumen bacterium
Lineage: Bacteria
Description: bacterial SSU rRNA
Rfam family: Bacterial small subunit ribosomal RNA
Source: RNAcentral